GCGUGGGGAGCAAACAGGAUUAGAUACCUGGUAGUCACGCUGUAAACGACGUCGAUUUGGAGGUUGUUCCCGUGAGGAGUGGCUUCCGGAGCUAACGCGUUAAAUCGACCGCCUGGGGAGUACGGCCGCAAGGUUAAAACUCAAAUGAAUUGACGGGGGCCCGCACAAGCGGUGGAGCAUGUGGUUUAAUUCGAUGCAACGCGAAGAACCUUACCUACUCUUGACAUCCAGAGAAUUUAGCAGAGAUGCUUUAGUGCCUUCGGGAACUCUGAGACAGGUGCUGCAUGGCUGUCGUCAGCUCGUGUUGUGAAAUGUUGGGUUAAGUCCCGCAACGAGCGCAACCCUUAUCCUUUGUUGCCAGCACAUUAUGGUGGGAACUCAAAGGAGACUGCCGGUGAUAAACCGGAGGAAGGUGGGGAUGACGUCAAGUCAUCAUGGCCCUUACGAGUAGGGCUACGCACGUGCUACAAUGGCGUAUACAAAGAGAAGCGACCUCGCGAGAGCAAGCGGAACUCAUAAAGUACGUCGUAGUCCGGAUUGGAGUCUGCAACUCGACUCCAUGAAGUCGGAAUCGCUAGUAAUCGUAGAUCAGAAUGCUACGGUGAAUACGUUCCCGGGCCUUGUACACACCGCCCGUCACACCAUGGGAGUGGGUUGCAAAAGAAGUAGGUAGCUUAACCUUCGGGAGGGCGCUUACCACUUUGUGAUUCAUGACUGGGGUGAAGUCGUAACAAGGUAACCA
RNAcentral lists this ribosomal RNA (742 nucleotides) under uncultured Enterobacteriaceae bacterium. RNAcentral describes it as "bacterial SSU rRNA". It matches the Rfam family "Bacterial small subunit ribosomal RNA", at positions 759 to 1502 of the family's 1533-position model. Lineage: Bacteria; Pseudomonadati; Pseudomonadota; Gammaproteobacteria; Enterobacterales; Enterobacteriaceae. The record is from RNAcentral.